CCCAUAAGGACUAGGGACAAUCCCAGGAAACCGGGGCUAAUACCGGAUAACAUUUUGAACCGCAAGGUUCGAAAUUGAAAGGCGGCUUCGGCUGUCACUUAUGGAUGGACCCGCGUCGCAUUAGCUAGUUGGUGAGGUAACGGCUCACCAAGGCAACGAUGCGUAGCCGACCUGAGAGGGUGAUCGGCCACACUGGGACUGAGACACGGCCCAGACUCCUACGGGAGGCAGCAGUAGGGAAUCUUCCGCAAUGGACGAAAGUCUGACGGAGCAACGCCGCGUGAGUGAUGAAGGCUUUCGGGUCGUAAAACUCUGUUGUUAGGGAAGAACAAGUGCUAAUUGAAUAAGCUGGCACCUUGACGGUACCUAACCAGAAAGCCACGGCUAACUACGUGCCAGCAGCCGCGGUAAUACGUAGGUGGCAAGCGUUAUCCGGAAUUAUUGGGCGUAAAGCGCGCGCAGGUGGUUUCUUAAGUCUGAUGUGAAAGCCCACGGCUCAACCGUGGAGGGUCAUUGGAAACUGGGAGACUUGAGUGCAGAAGAGGAAAGUGGAAUUCCAUGUGUACCGGUGAAAUGCGUAUAGAUAUGGAGGAACACCAGUGGCGAAGGCUACUUUUGGUCUGUAACUGACACUGAGGCGCGAAAGCGUGGGGAACAGCAGGAUAACAUACCCUGGGUACUCCACGCCUUAAACGAUGAGUGCAAGUGUUAGAAGGUUUCCG
This 722-nucleotide ribosomal RNA is filed under the name Bacillus sp. PD14. RNAcentral describes it as "bacterial SSU rRNA". It matches the Rfam family "Bacterial small subunit ribosomal RNA", at positions 129 to 835 of the family's 1533-position model. The record is from RNAcentral. Lineage: Bacteria; Bacillati; Bacillota; Bacilli; Caryophanales; Bacillaceae.